Molecule: ribosomal RNA, 1031 nt
Filed under: Amphichorda guana
Lineage: Eukaryota; Fungi; Ascomycota; Sordariomycetes; Hypocreales; Bionectriaceae
Description: SSU rRNA
Rfam family: Eukaryotic small subunit ribosomal RNA
Source: RNAcentral
AGCAAUUAUACAGCGAAACUGCGAAUGGCUCAUUAUAUAAGUUAUCGUUUAUUUGAUAGCACCUUACUACUUGGAUAACCGUGGUAAUUCUAGAGCUAAUACAUGCUAAAAAUCCCGACUUCGGAAGGGAUGUAUUUAUUAGAUACAAAACCAAUGCCCUUCGGGGCUCACUGGUGAUUCAUGAUAACUUCGCGAAUCGCACAGCCUUGCGCUGGCGAUGGUUCAUUCAAAUUUCUUCCCUAUCAACUUUCGAUGUUUGGAUAUGGGCCAAACAUGGUUGCAACGGGUAACGGAGGGUUAGGGCUCGACCCCGGAGAAGGAGCCUGAGAAACGGCUACUACAUCCAAGGAAGGCAGCAGGCGCGCAAAUUACCCAAUCCCGACACGGGGAGGUAGUGACAAUAAAUACUGAUACAGGGCUCUAUAGGGUCUUGUAAUCGGAAUGAGUACAAUUUAAAUCUCUUAACGAGGAACAAUUGGAGGGCAAGUCUGGUGCCAGCAGCCGCGGUAAUUCCAGCUCCAAUAGCGUAUAUUAAAGUUGUUGUGGUUAAAAAGCUCGUAGUUGAACCUUGGGCCUGGCUGGCCGGUCCGCCUCACCGCGUGCACUGGUCCGGCCGGGCCUUUCCCUCUGUGGAACCCCAUGCCCUUCACUGGGUGUGGCGGGGAAACAGGACUUUUACUUUGAAAAAAUUAGAGUGCUCCAGGCAGGCCUAUGCUCGAAUACAUUAGCAUGGAAUAAUAAAAUAGGACGUGCGGUUCUAUUUUGUUGGUUUCUAGGACCGCCGUAAUGAUUAAUAGGGACAGUCGGGGGCAUCAGUAUUCAGUUGUCAGAGGUGAAAUUCUUAGAUCUACUGAAGACUAACUACUGCGAAAGCAUUUGCCAAGGAUGUUUUCAUUAAUCAGGAACGAAAGUUAGGGGAUCGAAGACGAUCAGAUACCGUCGUAGUCUUAACCAUAAACUAUGCCGACUAGGGAUCGGACGAUGUUAUUACUUGACUCGUUCGGCACCUUACGAGAAAUCAAAGUGCUUGG